ACGAACGCUGGCGGCGUGCUUCACACAUGCAAGUCGAACGGAAAGGCCCUGCUUUUGUGGGGUGCUCGAGUGGCGAACGGGUGAGUAACACGUGAGUAACCUGCCCUUGACUUUGGGAUAACUUCAGGAAACUGGGGCUAAUACCGGAUAGGAGCUCCUGCUGCAUGGUGGGGGUUGGAAAGUUUCGGCGGUUGGGGAUGGACUCGCGGCUUAUCAGCUUGUUGGUGGGGUAGUGGCUUACCAAGGCUUUGACGGGUAGCCGGCCUGAGAGGGUGACCGGCCACAUUGGGACUGAGAUACGGCCCAGACUCCUACGGGAGGCAGCAGUGGGGAAUAUUGCACAAUGGGCGGAAGCCCGAUGCAGCAACGCCGCGUGCGGGAUGACGGCCUUCGGGUUGUAAACCGCUUUCGCCUGUGACGAAGCGUGAGUGACGGUAAUGGGUAAAGAAGCACCGGCUAACUACGUG
This 467-nucleotide ribosomal RNA is filed under the name uncultured bacterium. RNAcentral's name for it is "partial 16S ribosomal RNA". It matches the Rfam family "Bacterial small subunit ribosomal RNA", at positions 29 to 507 of the family's 1533-position model. The record is from RNAcentral.